CCAGACUCCUACGGGAGGCAGCAGUGGGGAAUAUUGCACAAUGGGGGGAACCCUGAUGCAGCAACGCCGCGUGGGUGAAGAAGUACUUCGGUAUGUAAAGCCCCGUCAGCAGGGAAGAAAAUGACGGUACCUGACCAAGAAGCCCCGGCUAACUACGUGCCAGCAGCCGCGGUAAUACGUAGGGGGCAAGCGUUAUCCGGAUUUACUGGGUGUAAAGGGAGCGUAGACGGCAAGGCAAGUCUGGAGUGAAAGCCCGUGGCUCAACCACGGGACUGCUUUGGAAACUGUGUUGCUGGAGUGCAGGAGGGGUAAGCGGAAUUCCUAGUGUAGCGGUGAAAUGCGUAGAUAUUAGGAGGAACACCAGUGGCGAAGGCGGCCUGCUGGACGAUGACUGACGUUGAGGCUCGAAAGCGUGGGGAGCAAACAGGAUUAGAUUCCCCCGUAA
Molecule: ribosomal RNA, 445 nt
Filed under: uncultured bacterium
Lineage: Bacteria
Description: bacterial SSU rRNA
Rfam family: Bacterial small subunit ribosomal RNA
Source: RNAcentral